Molecule: transfer RNA, 67 nt
Filed under: Neoperla sp. FS-2017
Lineage: Eukaryota; Metazoa; Arthropoda; Insecta; Plecoptera; Perlidae
Description: tRNA-Thr
Rfam family: tRNA
About the family: Transfer RNA (tRNA) molecules are approximately 80 nucleotides in length.
Source: RNAcentral
GUUUUAGUAGUUUAAAAUAAAACUUUGGUCUUGUAAAUCAAAAAUAAGAACUUCAUCUUCUAAAACU